Molecule: long non-coding RNA, 598 nt
Organism: Coregonus clupeaformis (lake whitefish)
Lineage: Eukaryota; Metazoa; Chordata; Actinopteri; Salmoniformes; Salmonidae
Exons: 3
Source: RefSeq, a predicted model, not a curated record
UCCGUUUCAUUUAUUCCAUUCCAGCCAUUACAAUGAGCCCGUCCUCCUAUAGCUCCUCCCACCAGCCUCCGCUGCUGGACACAGAGGAACCACGACGCCUAUCAAAGUGGGACCAGACACUGGUUGAAUAUUCCAAGGACGGAGCACCCCUUCAGCAAUCCAAGAGCGGAGCACCCCUUCAGUGAUCCGAGGACAGAGCACCCCUUCAGCGAUCCAAGGACUGAGCAACCCUUCAGCGAUCCAAGGACGGAGCACCCCUUCAGCAAUCAGAGGACGGAGCACCCCUUCAGCGAUCCAAGGACGGAGCACCCCUUCAGUGAUCCGAGGACAGAGCACCCCUUCAGCGAUCCAAGGACUGAGCAACCCUUCAGCGAUCCAAGGACGGAGCACCCCUUCAGCAAUCAGAGGACGGAGCACCCCUUCAGGGAUCUGAGAACAGAGCACCCCUUCAGCGAUUCCAGGACGGAGCACCCCUUCAGCGAUCCGAGGACGGAGCACCCCUUUUAGCGAUCCGAACAACAGACCCUCGCAGCAGGAAGACUACAACACCAUUUACCCUGAAAUCGAAAAUCUUUGCCUACCUAUUGAACUGAACUGG